AGAUACCCGUGUAGUCCUAGCCGUAAACGAUACUCGCUAGGUGUCGGCCACGGUGCGACCGUUGUCGGUGCCGUAGGGAAGCCGUGAAGCGAGCCACCUGGGAAGUACGGCCGCAAGGCUGAAACUUAAAGGAAUUGGCGGGGGAGCACAACAACGGGUGGAGCUUGCGGUUUAAUUGGAUUCAACGCCGGAAAUCUUACCGGGACCGACAGCAACAUGAAGGCCAAGCUGAAGACUUUGCCGGAUUAGCUG
This 252-nucleotide ribosomal RNA is filed under the name uncultured archaeon. RNAcentral's name for it is "partial 16S ribosomal RNA". It matches the Rfam family "Archaeal small subunit ribosomal RNA", at positions 731 to 982 of the family's 1478-position model. The record is from RNAcentral.